ACUCCUCCGGGAAACCCGCUGGAGAGCGCCGCCGCCGCCGCCGCCCCCGAGGUGGCCCCUGCCCAGCAUGCGCAGCCCCGCCCUGCAGCCAGUGCCCCAGGAAGAACCUGCUUUUCCAGCCAGGGAGGCCUGGCGUGGUGGUGCUGGCCCAAGACCUCCUCAAUGAAAGGCUGCAUUAAAAAACCUGCUUCCCAACGGCAGGGCGGUGCCUUGCCCUUCCUCUCCUCGGGUCGAGCUCCCGUGGCUCUGACAGCACCACGAUGGGCAAAAAUUCAACAGGUGAAGUGUUUUGCACCGCUGCACCCGAACGCCACUUGAAUUCGGAUUCAAUGGCAGUGCCCCCCGCCCCUUUUUAUUUGCCUGUCAUCUAGGUGGAGCCCUGCGUGGGGGCGGGGGAGAGGUAGCAAGCAACCCUUUUCGCAUGUUAUGCAUUUCCAACAUAGAAGCCUGACUGUAUAGGAUACCGUUUGAAGCAGGUAAAUUGUCACUUCCCUGAUCCACCCCCCCGCCCCUUUCCAUUUCUUUAUUUUUCAGGGAUUGCGAACCUUGAUCUGCCGAGAGAGAGCCAAAUAAUUGAUUAUGUAGUAAACAUUGUCUCCUUUUAAACUUUCUCUGCCCCCAGAGGCAUAACUAGGGAAAACAGCGCCGGGGCAAGCACUGAAAUGGCACCCCCCCCGUGCCCCAACAUACUACAUUAUACUUAGGUUUUUCCUCACAAGCGCCCGCCGCCGCCAAGCCAGGCCACUGACUGGCCGCCAGGCGCCAGCAAAGCAAUGGGGGGGCGCGGGCGGUGCGGAAGGGACUGCUCAUGGGGGAGGGGGCGCCGACGCGCUCCCUUGACUGCUGCAGCGCUGCUGCACUGAGCAGGAAACAUUUGUAUUAACAAAAAAUUAAAAACAAAAUUAAUUUUUUUUUGUCAUGGCGGCGCCCCCCACGUGACCAGAAAAGAUGGCGCCCGGGGCACGUGCCCCCCCUGCCCCCCUAUAGUUACGCCUCUGUCUGCCCCUUUAUUCAACAGAGCUCUUAAAUCUGUAUUAGUACACCGAGCAAGGGGUUGGUUGGUUGGUUAUUUAUUAUAUUUCUAUACCGCCGACAUGUGCAUCCCUUGGCCGUGUACAUAAGUUAAAAUACAAUACAAAGACUGGAUAAAUGAUUAAAGCAAUUGAUAUAAAAUCAAUUAAGAGUCUGAGAAAACAGGUGCGUCCUAAGGGUCUUUUUAAAAACAGCCAGAGAUGGAGAAACUCUGACUUUAACAGAGAGUGCAUUCCAGAUAGGGAUGUCCACAGAACUAGCGACUGCUGGUUCGGGGCGGGGGGACUUUAAGGACUGGGGAGGGUGCUCUGCUCCCCCGCUGCAUUUCCCCCGCCAGUGCUGUUCUCAAAAACGGUCCUGCCAGGGCAGCAGCAUACCCCCAUGCCACCCCGGUACAUCGCAGACUGGAAGUGGCCGCUGCACAUGCACAUGUUGCGACGUGUGCAUACGCAGCAGCCACUUCUGGCCACUGCUGGAGGCAUCCUGCCCUCCCUCAGAGAAGCAUUUAUAAUACUCACCAGACCCUCUCUAAUAAUAUAAUUAUUGGAUGAGAUAAGCCAAGUUGGGCAAGAGUCAAGAGAACAGGUUGUAGGAUGUACAGUCCAAAGCAGUUUCUCCACUUCCUCAGGAGUUACAAACUGGAAAUGACCCAAUCUAAUCCCAUAAGAGGAGUUGCUGGACACCUCCACAGUAGACUCUGCAGUAACUGUGGAAUCCAACUUGGCCGGAGUAUGAGGAAUUUAUCCGCAAAAAAAGUCAUUAAAAACAUCACAGUGAGUAACUGAUGGUUCAAAGUUUAAAUUCAAGGGGUGGGGGGGGGGGAAAUACUAACCCCCUCAUAACCCUAGACAACUCAGCUGGACAUGAAUUUGCAGAUGUGAUGUGGGCACAAAAGAACUGCUGCUUUGCCACCCACUCUGCCAGAGCAUAAGUCUUCAGAUGUGCUCUGUGUUGUGCCCAAUCAGACUCGCACUGAGUAUUCCUCUUCUAGUCAUUUACCUCGCUGCUUCAACUCCUGUAGUUCUUCUGAAUACCAUGGGGCUGUCAUUAAAGCAAGUCGGAGAGGACGCUUAGGAACUAUUGUGUCUACUGCUCUACGUGUGGCUGGCCAACCUAAGGCUUUCUCCAAUAAAUUGCAGCUGGGGAUUAUGGGAGUUGUGAAAGCUGGACUUUGAAGAAGCAAGAUAGGAAAACCAUUGAUGCUUUUGAACUUUGGUGCUGGAGAAGACUUUUGAUGAUACCAUGGACAGCCAGGGGAACAAACAAAUGGAUCAUAGAACAAAUCAAUCCAGACUUUUCACUCAAGGCACAAAUGACCAGGCUCAAACUAUCAUACUUUAGACACAUUAUGUGAAGACCCAGCUCCCUUAAGAAGUCCAUAAUGCUGGGGAAAGUUGAAGGAAAGAGAAGAAGAGGAUGACCAGCAGCAAGGUGGAUGGACUCAGUUACGACAGCCAUGAAUGCACCACUGAGACACCUUAAAGGCCAAGUUGGACAGAUAUCCUGGAGACAAUCUAUCUAUGUGGUCGCUAAGAGUUGACACUGACUUGAUAGCACUUAAUCAAUCAAGUCCAGCAACAACUGCAGAGCCUCACUCAGAUUUGCCACCUCUGCUAUAAUGCAUUGGGCUCUGCACUCAGUUCACCUCAUUUUAUUUUCCAUCAUUGAUAUGCUAUCUCCUUAUGCAUUUGCCUGCAUAUGUAAUACUAUGCAAACAGCAAAUGAACAUUGAACUUCUAACAAGAAUAAAGCACCUGAAGUGAGCAUAUGGUGGGUAUUCUAUGAAAAAAUUAACUCUCAAAAGCUAGGAUUAUUCCUGCCAUCAAAAUGGAUUAUUCCUUCCAUUUUUGUUGUAAACUGUCCAGAGACAUAAGUUUUGGGUGGUAUAAAAAUACAUUAAACAAAUAAAAUAAAAUAAAAUAAAAUAAAAUAAAAUAAAAUGGAAUUGCAUAGUAGGAGGGGAAGAACUGGCACGGGUGGAUCUACCUGGAUUCUCGGUUUUGAAAGAACAGAAUCUGCCCUUUAGACACCCACUUGCAGUGUAAAUUUGUGCCUUUAUUGCAUAAAUAAAAUGUAAAUGUUUGCAUAAAACUGAAUUCUACCCUGGACUUAAUUUAUCUGUAUAAACACUUUGUUUAGCCUGGUACACUCAGAACUCAAAAUUCACUUUGUAACUAUUCAAAUAACACAAAAGAUAAUGUGGCUGCUUUUAAAACCACAAUUGAAAACACUUUUAUUUGUUCAAGCUUUUACCCUUUAGGGGUUGCCAGUCUCUUCUUUCUGGCUGCUCUGUUGUGUUUUUAUGGCUAGUGUUUUUUGUAUGUUUGUGGUUUUAAUUGAUUUUAAUAUUUUAAUGUGGUUUUAUGGAAUGUUAUUGUAUUAACUUUUGUAAAGCGCCUUGGGAUAAUUUUAUGAAAGGGGAUAUACAUCAAUCUAACAAUAAAAUUAAAAGAGUGUGUUGAUUUGA
This is a long non-coding RNA of Hemicordylus capensis (graceful crag lizard), 3499 nucleotides long. RefSeq lists it as uncharacterized. The record is from RefSeq and is a predicted model, not a curated record. NCBI's taxonomy places the organism in Eukaryota, Metazoa, Chordata, Lepidosauria, Squamata, Cordylidae. The transcript is spliced from 3 exons.